Non-coding RNA from Vicia faba (fava bean), 234 nucleotides. The record is from the annotation of a GenBank genome assembly. NCBI's taxonomy places the organism in Eukaryota, Viridiplantae, Streptophyta, Magnoliopsida, Fabales, Fabaceae.
AUGCUGUGCGGUUUUCUCGCUCUCUCUCCUCUGCGCGAAGGCUCCUAUCGUUUGGUCUCAUUACAGGAAAUCGCUGAGGAAAACGCAAAACCAGACGAAAACGCAGAAGAGAUAUUGGAUGCAACUUUCUAUAUGCAGCAUGGUGACAGUAUCUUUGAAGUUGGGUCUUGCUUCAAGCCUGUUCUAUUAGAGUUUUAUUUUAGCAUCUCUCGAGUAUUUUACUACACACACUGA